UGGGGAAUAUUGCGCAAUGGGGGGAACCCUGACGCAGCCAUGCCGCGUGAAUGAAGAAGGCCUUAGGGUUGUAAAGUUCUUUCGGUAUUGAGGAAGGUUGAUGUGUUAAUAGCACAUCAAAUUGACGUUAAAUACAGAAGAAGCACCGGCUAACUCCGUGCCAGCAGCCGCGGUAAUACGGAGGGUGCGAGCGUUAAUCGGAAUAACUGGGCGUAAAGGGCACGCAGGCGGUUAUUUAAGUGAGGUGCGAAAGCCCCGGGCUUAACCUGGGAAUUGCAUUUCAGACUGGGUAACUAGAGUACUUUAGGGAGGGGUAGAAUUCCACGUGUAGCGGUGAAAUGCGUAGAGAUGUGGAGGAAUACCGAAGGCGAAGGCAGCCCCUUGGGAAUGUACUGACGCUCAUGUGCGAAAGCGUGGGGAGCAAACAGGAUUAGAUACCCUGGUAGUCCACGCUGUAAACGCUGUCGAUUUGGGGGUUGGGGUUUAACUCUGGCGCCCGUAGCUAACGUGAUAAAUCGACCGCCUGGGGAGUACGGCCGCAAGGUUA
RNAcentral lists this ribosomal RNA (547 nucleotides) under uncultured bacterium. Its description in RNAcentral is "bacterial SSU rRNA". It matches the Rfam family "Bacterial small subunit ribosomal RNA", at positions 355 to 896 of the family's 1533-position model. The record is from RNAcentral.